GUCCUAGCCGUAAACGAUGAACACUAGGCGUAGUCGGUAUCGACCCCGGCUGUGCCGUAGCUAACGCAUUAAGUGUUCCGCCUGGGGAGUACGGCCGCAAGGCUAAAACUCAAAGGAAUUGACGGGGCCCGCACAAGCAGCGGAGCGUGUGGUUUAAUUCGUCGGUACGCGAAGAACCUUACCAGGGCUUGACAUGUGGCGGAAAGCGGCGGAAACGUCGUCCUCCCGCAAGGGAUCGUCAUGCAGGUGUUGCAUGGCUGUCGU
Molecule: ribosomal RNA, 264 nt
Filed under: uncultured bacterium
Lineage: Bacteria
Description: partial 16S ribosomal RNA
Rfam family: Bacterial small subunit ribosomal RNA
Source: RNAcentral